Molecule: long non-coding RNA, 124 nt
Organism: Gavialis gangeticus (Gharial)
Lineage: Eukaryota; Metazoa; Chordata; Crocodylia; Gavialidae
Exons: 3
Source: RefSeq, a predicted model, not a curated record
AGUCAAAAUGCAGUAAAAACUAAGAGCUGGCAUCUUCCAAGGAGUGCUUAAAGUCUAAAAACUUUGAGAACCAUUCCCUUGACCAACUGCUUGUGGACUUUUAGUAAACACGACCCAGUUUUUU